This 254-nucleotide ribosomal RNA is filed under the name uncultured bacterium. Its description in RNAcentral is "partial 16S ribosomal RNA". It matches the Rfam family "Bacterial small subunit ribosomal RNA", at positions 524 to 776 of the family's 1533-position model. The record is from RNAcentral.
GACGAACCGUGCGAACGUUAUUCGGAAUUACUGGGCUUAAAGCGCGUGUAGGCGGGCCGGCACGUCCGAGGCUGAAAUCCCCCGGCUCAACCGGGGAACUGGCCCGGAUACGACCGGCCUGGAGGGGGGUAGGGGAAUCGGGAACUCACGGUGGAGCGGUGAAAUGCGUUGAGAUCGUGAGGAACGCCCGCGGCGAAAGCGCGGUUCUGGACCCCACCUGACGCUGAGACGCGAAAGCCAGGGGAGCGAACGGG